CCUCCGGUUUUACCCGGUCCUAGGUUGUGCUUUCCUUUCCCUUCCCCCUUCCCUCGCAUUCACUACUCACCUGCUGGGGGGAUGGGCGCCUGGGAGUGCCAGGAGGAUAGUCUAGGAGUGUUAGCACUGCAGCCGCAGCAGUCCUCCUGUCUCACUAGGCCACCCAGAUUCUCUGCGGCAGCAGUAUGGGGAGCUGCUCCCCUUGUUUCGUUUGUCCCACUCCGCAGUCACCACUGCUGCCUCCAAUUCGCCUCUGCUACAUUUGGAUCCUCCUCUCCGUACACGAACUCUACCACCAGGAUGGAGGCCUCCUCACUUUCCUGCCAAAUAGUGAGCUAGCCGCAUCGAGACAUUCAAAACACGGGACCGGACACCGCCCUCUUCCCCUCCACCAACACGCAGGCGCACUGCAAAUUCCGAACUGCGACAGGAGUGCAGGAAGCAAUCCUCCGCCUAGUCCACCGCUACUCCGUACCGCGCAGGCGCUCCUUUUCCUCCACUGCCGUCUCUCGGCGCUCCGUCGAGCAGAGUGGCGUCGUAGCGGAGAGUGGUGUGGGCUUGUCCCCAGUUGGCUGUGUUAGCCCUUCUCCAAACUCAGACUACUAGACCCUGGGGCAGUGAAUGUCCGUCUUUCCCCUCCCAUCCGCCCACCCACCACGGUGGAUCUAGUGCUGCCUCGUAAAGUGGCCACAGUGCUUUAUGGCAGCGGUACCGCUUCCUUAAACAGGCCUUGGGAGCCAGUGGCUGCACACUGCCCUCUCACCAUCAUAGGAAAGAAAAUAUGUAAGCCAUCAUAAGAAAGAAAAAUCAGCUAUGGAUAUCCUGUGUUACAAAUUUGGCCUGUGACGACUGAGGAGAGAGGCUAGGAUGCAAAGUAUAGAAUUACAAAGGAUCUUGUCAAGGAUAUUUCCAUCAUCCAGGGGCAGCAGGCAGCGAGUGGAGCUGAAGGUGUGCCUCACCCAGUUUCAGUGAUCAGCUCCCCUUGAUGGUGACUGGCACCAGGCGAUUGAUUGGGUUCCCAAAACUGUCCAGGAAACAGAUGAGUGUCAGACCAGGGGGGUCCAUGAAGAGUCCACAGAGAAGGACCACUGAUAAUCUCACCGUCUCUUACAGAGAAGACUUUGGAACCACAGUGGGAGAGACCACUGCAAGUACUUCUCACCACCUUCACUGCAAUCAAAAUCAAGGAGCAGAAUGCCUGGAUCCUUCACUCUGGAGUGAAGAAAGCCCUAGAAGUCCCUUGGAGAGUGACACCAGGAGACAAUGAACUGAGACUAAAACUUACUCGGGCAAAAUGUUUAUAUUGUGGUUGGGGGUAGUUCAUACUUUAGUUUACAGAAUUGUUUUGUAUGGAAUUAUAACUGAAGUUUCAGAACUAGAGAGUACCUCUACCCAAAGCAAUGCUGAACGGCCUUGGUCCCAGGCUUUUAAUCAGUAUACUGGAUCAAUGGGAAAACCUUCUGAGAUAAACGAUUUAAACAUAUCUACUGUAGUAAUCCACGGGAAUUGGGUAUAUGAGAAGCAAGAAUGGCAGGGAUGAGAACUGUGGGGACUUCAAAGAAUCAGAGGAGAAGAAAUCAAAGUAGAGUGCCGGGUCAUCAAUAAGACGGCUUAUGAGAGACCAGAUGUAAUUAGUGUCUCAACCUCCCCUGGUGUAUAUCAACACCAGGAAGUCUGUGAUAGCCUAACUGAAUCAGACUGUUGGUGUAAUUUCACCUUGAUACAGCCUGUAGAAACGACCUGCCUUUGAGUUCGAGUUGCUAUCAGACUUUCAUUUAAAUUCAAAGUAGACACUGCACUUUUUACAACAGCAGGGCCUUAUACAACCCAUACUAGGACUCAAAUAGUUCAGACUCUACCCAAACUGGAACCUAAAGUGUAUGAAACAGGCCCCUACGUAGUAAAGAAUGUGUGUGAACAACAACUAUUAUUCAGUCCAGAAUGGUCUCUCAAAUGUGUGGAGUUGCUAAUGCAAAUUAACAUCUCAAAAAUCCAACCAGUCUGCUCCUCCUUCCUAAAAACAUCCUUUGAAGGUUAGACAACGUAGUUACAAAGACAAGUAUAUCUCAAUAGCAGAAUAAGAAAGGAUCUAACUGAGAUAUUAAGGACAGGAUUAGGAGUUUUAAAUGGAAUUGAUUCAGAAAUACUGAUGAAUAAACUGGCUGCUGCAGCAGGUAGCCUAACAAAAUUGAAGCAGCCUUUACAGUCAUCUCUCUUGGCAUUAGGAACAAGCCAGUGGCAGAUUUCAAAGUACUGCCAAAGUAAGGAAGUAUGAAGAGGCCGGGGACCAAGACCACAAGUUAAUAGUAGAAGCACUUAGUACAGUUCUAGAUAAUGUGUCUUUAGCUUUCAGUUGUAUACAAGCACAGUUAUAGAUGCAAGCAACAGCAGCUCUGAUCAUAUAGGAAAGGGGUGAUGGUAAUUUUCCAGCUGAAAUUCGGAGAAUUGUUUGGGAUAAUGCAAUUGAUUUUGAAAGGAAGUUUCAAUCCUGGUGGACUAUGGUGAAUUUCACCUAUGAUCCUGUUUCUAAUGUGGCCACUGCCUUUGUGCUUACCAUACGUAAUGCCACUGUUUAUGUUAUCCAUCCCAUCAUUGCCCUAAGAUUAAACCAUGAAGAAACAACACUCUAUCCUUCAGAACAUAGAGUGUGGGCACGAAAAGAUGAAUGAAAAGUGGCAGAUAGUAAACUUAGAAUCCUGCACUACUAGAGAACAGAUGGGAUUCAUGUGUGAAAGCAAUACUAUUAAUGCCCAAGAUGUGUUUAGACACUGCGCAGAGUAUUUGUCACUUCGAAGUUCAUCCAGUCACUGACCAGAAAACUGUGCUCGUAUAUACUGGAAAAGGGUGUGUAUGCCUGAGAACUGCCUGUGCUGCUGUAAAAAUUGAUAGCAAUGAUGUUAUUCUGUCUAGUAGAAAUCAUUCUAAUUUCUGUAUUUGUAAUUUUGUUAAGAUUAUCGGGUGUGAUUUUUCGUACUUGGCACCAGUGACAUCCCACCAGCUGGUUAAAACCAAUUAUACAGUGUUUCACAGACUAUCACCUACCCCUAUUGGUAUGGACCUUGCAUUAGUAAAACAAUUAAUUAAGCACCAAGACCUACUAAGGAUCUUGAAGAAAAACUCAAGGAAGCAGAGAGAACUAUCCAGUGUGAUACAAAAAGAAAUAACUAGAAUUCUUCAAAGAAUAGAACAAAAUGCAGAUCAUCACUGGUGGGAUAUGAUCUUUGGGUGCUCACCAACUGCAAAUAGAAUCUUUAAUAAGUUGUAUCAUCCUACUCUAGUUUUGUUAAUAUUAGUUAGAAUAAGUUUAAGAUUAUCCAUUAUCAAACGCACAUGGUAAAGCACUAAAGUACACUUGUUGUCAUAGGAAUUUGUACAAAGUAAAAGAAUUUACUUCCUCCUUUUAGGAAAGGGGGGAAUGAAGCAAAGUGAAAAUUUUCCAGGAUAGAAAUCCAUUUUAAUUUAGGUGAAAUGUACAUUUUUGAGUUGAAUCUGUGGUUAGAAAUCAUAGUUAUUUAGCCAGACUGCAAGGCCUAAGCUCAGUGAAGUUACUUCAGUGAAGGACAGAGAUAAAGGGGGGGAGACAGAAGAUGAUAGAGACAGGGACUGCUGUAAGGGCAAGUCAGCCUGACCUCGGAAUUUUUUUUUUUAUAAAAAGGAACUAGUGAUAAAAGUCACACGAAACCCAUAAAAAUGAAUAUGUAUGAACCUAUUGUGAAAUUGUAUGCAUAUGUAUUUGAGAGAGAGAUAAAAAGAAACCUGAAGUUCUCAGAGGUACACAUGCCUCUUUUGAGGAGAGCAAUCUCUGCAUGUGUCCAGCGCUGUAAUAAACAUACCAAGCUUUACA
This is a long non-coding RNA of Zonotrichia leucophrys gambelii, 3844 nucleotides long. RefSeq lists it as uncharacterized. NCBI's taxonomy places the organism in Eukaryota, Metazoa, Chordata, Aves, Passeriformes, Passerellidae. The record is from RefSeq and is a predicted model, not a curated record. The transcript has 3 exons.